CCUACGGGGGGCUGCAGUGGGGGAUAUUGCACAAUGGGGGGAACCCUGAUGCAGCGACGCCGCGUGGGUGAAGAAGCGCCUCGGCGCGUAAAGCCCUGUCAGCAGGGAAGAAAAUGACGGUACCUGAAGAAGAAGCCCCGGCUAACUACGUGCCAGCAGCCGCGGUAAUACGUAGGGGGCAAGCGUUAUCCGGAUUUACUGGGUGUAAAGGGGGCGCAGACGGCGAUGCAAGCCAGGAGUGAAAGCCCGGGGGCCAACCCCGGGACUGCUCUUGGAACUGCGUGGCUGGAGUGCAGGAGGGGCAGGCGGAAUUCCUGGUGUAGCGGUGAAAUGCGUAGAUAUCAGGAGGAACACCGGUGGCGAAGGCGGCCUGCUGGACUGCAACUGACGUUGAGGCCCGAAAGCGUGGGGAGCAAACAGGAUUAGAUACCCUGGUAGUC
This 440-nucleotide ribosomal RNA is filed under the name uncultured bacterium. RNAcentral describes it as "partial 16S ribosomal RNA". It matches the Rfam family "Bacterial small subunit ribosomal RNA", at positions 338 to 795 of the family's 1533-position model. The record is from RNAcentral.